This 207-nucleotide ribosomal RNA is filed under the name uncultured bacterium. RNAcentral describes it as "partial 16S ribosomal RNA". It matches the Rfam family "Bacterial small subunit ribosomal RNA", at positions 568 to 774 of the family's 1533-position model. The record is from RNAcentral.
CAUGUAGGCGGAUUAAUAAGUUUGAAGUGAAAUUCUAUAGCUUAACUAUAGAACUGCUUUGAAAACUGUUAAUCUAGAAUGUGGGGGAGGUAGAUGGAAUUUCUGGUGUAGGGGUAAAAUCCGUAGAGAUCAGAAGGAAUACCGAUUGCGAAGGCGAUCUACUGGAACAUUAUUGACGCUGAGAUGCGAAAGCGUGGGGAGCAAACA